Molecule: long non-coding RNA, 121 nt
Organism: Sinocyclocheilus grahami
Lineage: Eukaryota; Metazoa; Chordata; Actinopteri; Cypriniformes; Cyprinidae
Exons: 3
Source: RefSeq, a predicted model, not a curated record
AUGUCACUUUCAGGACAUGUAAUCACCUGCAGUUCACUCAGAAUUCAGUGACCAUUGGUAGUGGACUUGCCAUAUCGUCUUUAAAUACGAUCUAAAUUGAGCAAUUCCAGCAUUACGGAUA